RNAcentral lists this ribosomal RNA (468 nucleotides) under uncultured bacterium. Its description in RNAcentral is "partial 16S ribosomal RNA". It matches the Rfam family "Bacterial small subunit ribosomal RNA", at positions 28 to 507 of the family's 1533-position model. The record is from RNAcentral.
GACGAACGCUGGCGGCGUGCUUAACACAUGCGAGUCGAACGGAAAGGCCCUGCUUUUGUGGGGUGCUCGAGUGGCGAACGGGUGAGUAACACGUGAGUAACCUGCCCUUGACUUUGGGAUAACUUCAGGAAACUGGGGCUAAUACCGGAUAGGAGCUCCUGCUGCAUGGUGGUGGUUGGAAAGUUUCGGCGGUUGGGGAUGGACUCGCGGCUUAUGAGCUCGUUGGUGGGGUAGUGGCUUACCAAGGCUUUGACGGGUAGCCGGCCUGAGAGGGUGACCGGCCACAUUGGGACUGGGAUACGGCCCGGACUCCUACGGGGGGCAGCAGUGGGGAAUAUUGCACAAUGGGCGGAAGCCUGAUGCAGCAACGCCGGGUGCGGGAUGGCGGCCUUCGGGUUGGAAACCGUUUGCGCCUGUGACGAAGCGUGAGUGACGGUAAUGGGUAAAGAAGCACCGGCUAACUACGUG